RNAcentral lists this long non-coding RNA (4022 nucleotides) under Podarcis lilfordi (Lilford's wall lizard). Lineage: Eukaryota; Metazoa; Chordata; Lepidosauria; Squamata; Lacertidae. The record is from RNAcentral.
UAAGAAACAUGUAAUAUUCCGAAAUAUACAACAAUGCAUGAUAAUACCAAAUCCCAGGUGCAGGUGAGGAGAAGGAUUUCCAUUUUCCAUUUUUUUACAUUCUUCUGACAUUUAGUUCAGUUUUGGGACUGUCCUUAAAAGUAGCAGGAACUUAAUUUUGAGGCCAUGCUGAUCUUUGAAGGUGUUUGCGCGCCUUCAAGUAAGUUCCUGUACUGCUGUCUAGUUCUGAGCAUGCUCCUUUCCCUGGAGGCUGGCAUGUGCUUUUUUGUGUGUGUGGGGUGGUUGUUUUUUUUGACCUAGUGCUGACUUCAGAGAGGCUCAGAAAAUAGUUUCAUUGCUUCCUGAAUCUCUCAGAGGCUCACUGUGAAGUCUGGGACAGUUCUUGUCUAUUUCUGGGCUCUUCGAGACGGGCAGAAGCUCUUGCCAGAAUGGUGUGUUUUUUUUAAUGGCCUUACCAGUGCUAAGCUGCCCAGAGCAUUUAUGCACUCUAGGCUAACUACUUAUUACACUAAGAAAUAUCACUUAUUUGUGCUUAGAUAAAAUUUGAUAUUCCUAUAUAGUUGCCUUGAAUUUGUUUGAGGGAGGGAAGAAGACACAAAUGUAAUAAAUAAUUUGCUAAUUGGUAACCUGAACACUAGUUUUCUGGGGUGUGUGUGGAUUUUAUCUUUCUUUAAUAGAUUGGCAUUUAAAUAUUACCAGGCAUCAUUUUGGAAAGUCCUACACACCACCAAUACCUAUAACCUGAACAAAUAUUGAUCAGUUUUAUACAGUCGUGCCUUGGUUCUUGAACGUAAUCCGUUCUGGAAGUCCGUUUGACUCCCGAAACAUUUGAAAACCAAGGAACGUCUUCUGGUUGGCUGCAGGAGCUUCCUGCACUCAAGCGGAAGCAGCGUUGGACAUUUGGCUUCUGAAAAACAUUCGAAAACCGGAACACUCACUUCUGGGUUUUCAGCGUUUGGGAACCGAAACGUAUGAGUACCAAGGCAUUCGAGAACCAAGGUACGACUGUAUUUUGAAAGUUUCUACAAAUAUUGGUCAAUGGAACAUGUACUCAAAACAGUAUAUAGCCCCAGGUAAAAAACAAAAACAAAACACCAUUCUAAGCAUGCUGUGAAUGGAAUGGGGGUGGGGAGUGUAUUUCACAAGGGACUUUUCAGAAAAGUGGGGAAACCCGUGUGCCAUCUACGUUUCUGUUGCUUCAUGUGAAUUUUACACUGUAGUUUGUAAUACCAGUAAUUUGUGUGAGGAAAGGACGUAAUCACUUGUGCAAGGGAACUAUUCUAGUUCACACCAGUAAUAUAUAUAUAUAUUGUCUGGUGUCAGGUUGUUUCCAGGAGGCUCAUACUGUAGAAUAUUUUAUUUGAAGUGAAUGCAGGGGAAGAAAUUUAAAAUCAUUGAUACUUGAAAAACUCAUACAAAUUUCUGCCUGUUUGUUAUGAUAUACAUUUGGAUGAAAAUAGUUGCAAAAUACAAAUUUAGUACUAAAAAUGUAGAAGAUAGCCAUGCUAGAUUGCUUUAUAGUAUAUAGCAAGGAAUCUGAAGCUGGCUAAGAAAGCUUCUAGUAUAUCCAAUUUAGUAUGCCUGUACUAUUUGCAGAGCUUUGCGUGUAAGAUGUGAAUGAACUUCAUAGCCAGAUUCAACAUAGGCCACAAGAGAGACAUCCAUCACUGUGACUAGAACCAGCUGAAAGCACAAUCUCAGACUGUUGCCUGAUAAUGGAUUUCUUCAAACCAAGGACCUGAAAGCAGUUUAGUUCAGAAACAUCCAGGAAAUAAUUUCUGAAGAUAGGAAAAAGGCCUAUUUGCAGUUGAUGGUGAAUUUCCAUCUUAUACUAGCAUGUAAAAAAAUAUGUGGAUAAAAGAUGUUUGCUAAUCAUUUCCUAAAAUGUGUUCACUCUAAAAUGCUUUUGUUUCUGUCAACAAGUGGAGCAUAUAUAUUGUUACUAACUUCAGCCAAAAGAAGUUGAAUGUUUCACAGUGGUUAGUACUAGCCAUGGUCUGUUGUCUGAACCAUGGUUAAGGUGACAGAUGUACAAUGAAACCAUGUUUUACAUACUUACUGCACACCUAAUUCCACAUCCUGAUUUGCAAACUAAUCCCCUAAUCUUCAUUUAGGUGAUGUAAUACUUAGCCAUGUGUCAGGGGACUGCCAUCGGAACAGGGAAGGGAGGCAGAGGGGCCGUUGGGAUACAGGGAACCUCCGAAAAUCUUGUGAAGCAGUUCCUCUUCCUGUGGUGGAGAAAGCCACACCUCCAGUGGGGAAGAGGGGAAGGGACCAGAGGAUGCUGCUGGGAGCCCCAGCGCCGCACCUUGUCAGUCUGAGGGUGGGGAAAGCCACACCUCCAGGGUAAAGGAGGGGAAAGGGCUAGAGGAUGUUGCUAGGAGCCUCAGCACUGCUCCUUGUCAGGCUGGCCAGGAGGGAAACAUGCCUCUUCCUUCCCCCACCUUGCGCAGAGGGUUAAAACGCAAAGAAGGAAGGAAACGGCUGGGGGUGACUAAGUUCUUAUGUUGGGGGAGGACCUGGAAGGGACCACUCCCGGAUUCUGCUAGCGAUUGAGGCAGACAUGAACUUGUGGUUCUGCACUGUAAAUAGUUUUGCACCAAAUAAAACCUGUAAAAGACAGGUCGGAGUCCUGCCUGGUUACUCACGAGCAACCACCACUGCCAUCUGACACAAUGGUUAAAGAAAAUAAACCAUAGAUAACAUGUGUGCACAAAACCUUAAUUUAUUGUAUAGCCAUUUUAUAUUGCAAAUCAGCUGUUCAGAUUCCAGAUGAAUAGGAAACUGCAAAAUCAUAAGUCUUCUACUGAAAUCUAAAGAAUAACAUAGGGAAGCUAGCUAUGCCAUUUUAAACAGUUCAGCUAUAGCAAGGAUUAAGAAAAUUGGGAAUUCAAGUUCUCACAUAAGCAGGCCUUAGGAAUCCUGUAUUAAUGGAGUUGUGAGCUAAUCGUUGAUUUUCACAUGUCCUUCUUAUGUAUGAAUAUUUUUGGGAUCAAGAAGUAAACGGUCUACCAACUAUUAUAAGUUUGAUGGAUGUGUCCAUGUGUGCAACUUGUGAUUAACAGCAUAGCAGGUCAGUUUAGCAGCUGCCUCUUUUCUUAUUUAUAUUAAGCUCCUUAUUUGUGGCUUUAAAACACUUCUAAAUCCUCAUCCACCCCCAUCCUUUUCACAACCCUUGGAUAAAACUCAGUACCAGCAACUGAGUGGAUCAUUUCUCAUAGCUAAAUCUAGGAAGCAUCAACUCAAGUUGUUCUUGACUUCAGGGGGAUUUGUUUUGACAGAAUUUGAGAAUACUGUACCUGCAUAGUGUUUGCUUGCUCACUGUAGCCCUCUUGAAAAUGAUUGAGGAAGUAGAACAUGGAUCUUAACAUGAAGUAUAUAAUUGUUUCCUGUUCCUAUUUUAUCUGUAAGCUGCCUUGAGUCCUGUGUCUGGGAACAAAUGCUGAGGAAGAAGUUUGUGUAGCUGAACAUUAUUAUGUCAGUUGCACACUGGUUUAUAGGUCAAUAAAUAUACUUGUUGCUACAUAAACUGAGUUUGGAAUGUAUCUGUAAUUCUAGAAAUGACUGGUCACUUAAUUUUGUUUAGGGAAAAAUAUUCCAAUAGGGUGGUUGUGGAAGAUGCUGGGUUAAUAACUGUGUGUGGGUGUGCAUGUAUGUAUGUAUAGAUGAUAGACAGAUAUGCUAUCUAUCUAUCUAUCUAUCUAUCUAUACCCAAAGAAGGUACAAAUAUACCCUGAUGAAACAUCAGUGAUUGCUUAUUUCCUGAGUAAGUUCACCUUUCUGUGACAGCACAUAAGGCUAUUUCUAAUUCUUCAUUCCCCCCUUCUCUUGUACUUCCAUGGAAACUUCUGAUGAUGGAAUUAGUACAUGCUGUGGUUUUGUGAUUGGCUCUUAGGUAACCGAUGGGGGGAAAUUGUGUGAAACACAAUUCAAAAGACUUCCUGGUAGUUGAUUGAUUAAAGGACUUUGUAGUUGGUGAACUAAAUAGGCAAAUUUUCAUAUUAAAUAUAUAUUUGCACGGC